CGCUGUUUGUCCGCCAAGACACAUGCAAUCACGCUAAUCAUCCAUCCGAAGAACAACGCGGCCUGUCUGAAACGAGACAAAAGUUUCAAAAACUGUGUGAAAAUGAACGUUUUCAUGACAAUUAAGUGCCAGCUUCUGCGACUCACUAGAAAGGAAGGCGACCGAAUACUUAAUUAAAACUUUGGACAACUUAGCUAAUAGUUUCUCAUUUUUCUUUUUAGAGUGACUGAAAAGUAAAAUAAAAUCUGAUAGUAAAAGGAAUAAUGAUAAAUGGAAUUAGUUGAUGUCGCAUUUUGUACAAGGGCUCCAAAUUGAAGACUAGCAUGGUAGCAUCAAGUUUUUUUGAGCGGACGAACGUGUCGUUUUUCGAUUGUUUUCCUUUUUCUGUGCACGUGGAUCCUUUGGACGACAACGUCGGGAUUUAAGCAGAAUGGUUUAACGAGUUCUGAAGGCACCGCACAGCUGGUUGGAAUGUUCCAUCACGGUUUAUGGAAGCAUCUGCCACUCACAGAAGCGAAUAAUGGAUCAAUUAUUUAAGGAGCCCGGCAAUUACGCGGGCCUCCUCCGUGGAUGUAAUUGCAGUGGGGGCAGCUUCCUGACUGAGCAGACUGCUUGCUUGCCCACCACUAGGGAGACCGGCUUCAUCAGUUCUGGCAGCCCCAGCUUUGAUGUCUUUCUCGAGCCCACGAGACCAAUCUAUAGAUCUAUUUUGCGUGAUCUGGAAUGAGAAGCGCUCUCACCUGUACCAGUCCAGGCCCUUGUGGUAGUUGCGGUCGAAGAAGUGCGGUUCUGCCCCCG
Phyllopteryx taeniolatus (common seadragon) is the source of this 798-nucleotide long non-coding RNA. RefSeq lists it as uncharacterized. Lineage: Eukaryota; Metazoa; Chordata; Actinopteri; Syngnathiformes; Syngnathidae. The transcript is spliced from 4 exons. The record is from RefSeq and is a predicted model, not a curated record.